UGAACGCUGGCGGCGUGCUUAACACAUGCAAGUCGAACGAAGCAUUUACGACAGAUUUCUUCGGAUUGAAGUUGUUAUGACUGAGUGGCGGACGGGUGAGUAACGCGUGGGUAACCUGCCUCAUACAGGGGGAUAGCAGCUGGAAACGGCUGGUAAUACCGCAUAAGCGCACAGCAUCACAUGAUGCAGUGUGAAAAACUCCGGUGGUAUGAGAUGGACCCGCGUCUGAUUAGCUAGUUGGUGAGGUUAAACGGGCCCACCAAGGCGACGAUCGGUAGCCGGACUGAGAGGUUGAACGGCCACAUUGGGACUGAGACACGGCCCAGACUCCUACGGGAGGCAGCAGUGGGGAAUAUUGCACAAUGGGGGAAACCCUGAUGCAGCGACGCCGCGUGGAGGAAGAAGGUCUUCGGAUUGUAAACUCCUGUUGUUGAGGAAGAUAAUGACGGUACUCAACAAGGAAGUGACGGCUAACUACGUG
RNAcentral lists this ribosomal RNA (481 nucleotides) under uncultured bacterium. RNAcentral describes it as "bacterial SSU rRNA". It matches the Rfam family "Bacterial small subunit ribosomal RNA", at positions 30 to 507 of the family's 1533-position model. The record is from RNAcentral.